Molecule: RNA transcript, 955 nt
Organism: Prunus mume (Japanese apricot)
Lineage: Eukaryota; Viridiplantae; Streptophyta; Magnoliopsida; Rosales; Rosaceae
Gene name: initiation factor 4A-like protein
Source: RefSeq, a predicted model, not a curated record
UGUUUCUGAAAAAUAACCGAGAAUAUACCAAGCGGAUUUUCCAUUGAAAACGAAGGGGAAAAGUGAGACAGUUUGGUCGAACUUCGACGCAAUGGCGAUGGAUGCCAUUGAAACCCCCUCUCCUCCCUUUCACCCCCCUUCUUCCCAUUUCAGUCAACAACGCCACUUCUAUCUCGCCGUUGACAGGCUCCAGUUCAAGAUGGAGACAUUGAUGGACCUGUUGGGCGUGGCGGGUAGGCGUCCCUGCCUACCUAUAGUGGUCUGCUGCAGCUCACGUGAUGAGCUCGACGCGGUCAGCUCCGCCGUCGCCAACGUCCCCUAUAUCUCUUUAGCUUCUCUGUACACUGACCUUGCUGAAGCAGACCGUUCUUUGAUAUUAGAGCGCUUUCGGGAAGCAACAAUGAGGUGGAACCCAGAAGCCAGUGCUCAACCAGCGGAUGACAAUGAGCCUGUGAAAGAUGAACAAAAAUCUCAUAUGAUAGUUGCAACAGAUGCAUGCCUUCCACUUCUUGCUUCCGGGGAGUCACCCAUUUCUGCUCACGUUCUUAUAAAUUAUGAGUUGCCUACAAAGAAGGUUCUUCCUAGCUGUACUGCUUUGUUGGUUGCAUAGUAUGGGAUUCCCCGGUCUUGCAAUAACUUCAUAUAAUAUGUGCAGAUGGGAUUGUAAUCAAUAUGGUUGUUGGGGGUGAGGUAGUUACUCUCAAAAGCAUUGAAGAAAGUAGCAACCUGGUCAUAGCUGAGAUGCCCAUAAAUAUUUCUGAGAUUUUAUGAAGGCAUAUGAUCUGCUAUGCCGGCGGACAUGUUAAAGGACCAGAUGAGAUCCCUUGUACUCACUCUUGUAUUUGGUUGAAGCAUUUGAACGUGAUCUGGGUGCGUUUUGAGGAAGUUUCAAUCAUAUCAAAUUUAUACUGAUCUUGUUCUAAAAAAAAAAAAAAAGAUAAAAAUUUAUACUGAU